AAACCGGAGCUAAUACCGGAUAAUAUAUUGAACCGCAUGGUUAAAUAGUGAAAGACGGUUUUGCUGUCACUUAUAGAUGGAUCCGCGCCGCAUUAGCUAGUUGGUAAGGUAACGGCUUACCAAGGCAACGAUGCGUAGCCGACCUGAGAGGGUGAUCGGCCACACUGGAACUGAGACACGGUCCAG
RNAcentral lists this ribosomal RNA (186 nucleotides) under uncultured Staphylococcus sp. RNAcentral describes it as "partial 16S ribosomal RNA". It matches the Rfam family "Bacterial small subunit ribosomal RNA", at positions 154 to 334 of the family's 1533-position model. Lineage: Bacteria; Bacillati; Bacillota; Bacilli; Caryophanales; Staphylococcaceae. The record is from RNAcentral.